Molecule: long non-coding RNA, 2148 nt
Organism: Zophobas morio
Lineage: Eukaryota; Metazoa; Arthropoda; Insecta; Coleoptera; Tenebrionidae
Exons: 3
Source: RefSeq, a predicted model, not a curated record
UCUCUAGCACAUAUCACUUAUUUUUUGAAUUCAUUAAUGUAUCAUACUUUAAUCACCCAUACCCCGCUACCGUCCACUGUCUAGUAUUCCAGCACAUUAUGUUACCAAAACUGACUUGUUUAUUUUAGGUCGGCAACCCUGGAGUAACCUGGUCGUCAAUCCAUGAUAGGAACCGGAUUAACAAUUGAUCCAAAAAUAUGAAUGCAUUGAUGAAGGACAAGACUAUACUUGUAUGUACUGGAAAAUUCCCACUUAAUCCAGCCACUUUUGACAUAAGGAGAACUAUAAGUCCAAACGUUUUCUGUUCAUGUUGAAAAACGAGAUUUCUAUAAUAAAAAAUAUACAGGGUGCCGCAUCCAAGUCUGGAUAUAGGGAAUUAACAUGCGAAUUGGUUUUUAUUUUAUAAUAUCUCCCCAGAUCACUUUAAAGCUAUUAUUGAGUGAUGGCUUUGUGGAGGUCGAAGAGGGCUAUCGGCCAGUAUUUUUUUCAAAUCGUUGCAUCGCGCUCAUUCACUGUAAAAAGGUUUUAAAAAUCGUAUUUUGAAAUUCGCGCCCGAUCCGAAUUGUCGCGAAGUGUUCCGUCGUACUGUCGAAGUUCGGCGAUCGCGUAUUUUCAUUACCCAUGCAAAAUUCAAAUGUCAAAGUGAAAUUAGAAAUUAUUCUCAUCAGAAAUCAACGAACAAGUCAAACUGAAUUAUUUUAUCCAGUGUGAUGAUUAUUGUAGGACAAAUUAAACGGAAUAAAUGCACAAAUUGAUCCAUUCAUUCGUCAUAGUGCGCGACCCCGUCAAACGAGCCAUCUCGAACUACAAUCAGACCGUAUCCAAAAAGCCCAAGAUGAAGACUUCAAGACUUCGAGCAGCUGGUCUUCCUCAAAACCCCAUCAAAGCCCAUCGGCAGCAUUGCGACAUUUUCUGGGAGCCCUCAAGCUAGGAAUGUACUCGGGCUGCCUCACUCAGUAAUCACUGAACGACUCAAAUUGAAUUAUUUUAUCCAAUAUGACGAUUAUUGUUAUGCUAUGUUCUACUGCGAUUAGAUGAAAAAGCGGGGGCCUGCAUGUUCUUCAACAGUUAAUUUAAUUAGUAGGUAAUUUGGAUAAAUUUCACCCUUUUUUUUGGAAUCACUAAAGAUUGGAAGUCAAUUGAUUUUACAUUCGUUAAGCAGCGAUGGAUUUUUGCCUCCAGGAAGCAUCUUCAUUACAGGAAAUUUUUGAGAGAGAAAUGUAGAACAUUGACUCAUCAACAUUUUAAAGUAUUUUUCUCUAUUACGAAUGUGUUUUGGGAUUCAGAAACUUUUGUAUUACUGUUUUAUUUGUUUAUUGUGUUAACAACAACAAAAAUAAAAAUAAUAUUUCGCAAAAUAAAGUUACAUUUAUUUUCAAAGGUGAUAAAAAUUACAUAAAAUCAGGUGGGCACGACGUUUUCUAGGGGUCUUAAACAGAUGAGAUAGAAGAAUUUCAAAAAGCAUCAUGACAAAAAAUUGAAGCCUGGGACUACUUCUCACAUAUAGAGUUUUACGAAGGAACGCUUGAGAGAAUCUAGGCUGAUGGAGAGUUUUUGAGGAAAAUUUGUUUUACUGACGUUCAUUUGGUCUUAAGGGAAGUUAUAAUCGUCAGAACGAUCAAAUUUGAGCAUUACACAACCGUCACGUGGUCCAUGACCUUCGUUAUCAAUGGCGUGCAAUUACCAGUGUAUGACUGGGGCUUCUAGGACAUCAUGUCAUUGCACCUUUUUUCAUCGAAUCCGGAUUGAAUGCUCAGAAGUAGGAUAAUAUGCUAGCUCAGCAAAUACUUCCUGGGACUCGAAGGGUGCGGCAUCUGCAGCAGGUCUUUUACAUCCAGGACCAAAUCUCCAGCCAUACAGUUCGCAUAAAUGUUGUUUAUUUGAACCAGUAUUGUUCCGCAAUGUUGGAAUGGAAAAUUUGCACCGCCCCAUUGGCCUGUGCAAUCGCCGGAUCUAAACCCCUGAGAAUUUUUUCUUUGGAGAUUUCUUCACGACCAUCUGCAUUCAGACAAGCUAUACAAACAGAGAAGCGCUGAAACAAGCAAUCCAGCAAUAUUGUCUUCAGAUUUCAACUAAAAUGCUGAUCAACACACGUAGGAGUUUUGAAGAUUGGCUUACUUACUGUACAGCUGGUGAGAGCAGUCUUUU